Glycine soja is the source of this 710-nucleotide long non-coding RNA. RefSeq lists it as uncharacterized. The transcript has 2 exons. The record is from RefSeq and is a predicted model, not a curated record. Lineage: Eukaryota; Viridiplantae; Streptophyta; Magnoliopsida; Fabales; Fabaceae.
AAUGCACCAAUUAAAAGGCUAACAAAAAUCUGUGUGAGUGUGUGUGAAGAACGAGAGAUGAGUCAAAACAGGAGGACUAGUUAGUUGGGUGUGAGAAUUAAUGGAGUGGUUCUAGAAAAAGCUGGUGCAUAAGCUAAGCUAGGCCCGGAUUUGGGUAUGUAGAAAUUGGCAAAGGAUUAAGAAGGGAAAGAGAAAAGCAGGGAUUAAAAAUGGUUAGAGAUGGGAAGCUGCUUUAUCGUGUAGAGUGUUGGAAGCAACAAGUGUGGGAAUCCUGGUGUCAGAUUUUAUUGGACCCUCCUCUUUCUUCCCCCCUUGGUUUUGUGCACUCAUCAGUACUGCCUCUGGCUGCAGUUGCAGUCUUGUGUGUUGUUAUAUAUGCUUCUUCUGCCUCACUAGCUAGCUACCCUCUCUCUUCCUGUUUGUAUGCAAGUGUCUCUCACGGAAACUUUCUCUGCUUCUAUAAGCUAAUGCCUCGAAUAGCACGUAAACUCUUUCAAGAACACAGCUAUUGAAUUGGUAUUGGUUUUGGUAUGUGGAUGGUGAGAGUACUGCAGACAAGCAUGUGCUGUGCAGCUAGCACUCUCUCAAGCAGGCAUGUAGAGAGAGAGAGAGAGAGUGCAAUAAUGUGCUUACUAGCUAGAAGGGUUUGUUUUGUUUUGUUGGUGAUUAGUUCUUGGAUUUAACACAAGCAAACACGCAUGUUAUAGUUA